This is a long non-coding RNA of Papaver somniferum (opium poppy), 610 nucleotides long. RefSeq lists it as uncharacterized. The transcript is spliced from 2 exons. The record is from RefSeq and is a predicted model, not a curated record. Lineage: Eukaryota; Viridiplantae; Streptophyta; Magnoliopsida; Ranunculales; Papaveraceae.
UCAAGAUAGCAUUUCUGCAUUUUGAAACAAAAUUGAGUUGCAUAAUAUUUUCAUGUUAGAUCCGAGUGGGGUCAAUCUAAGAUUGGAGAGGAGGGCGGCGCUCUUAAUAUGGAGUAACUGAAUCUUUUUGAUCCUCUUCCGUCGUCAGCAAAAGCGGCAUCCCCAAUGGCAGCCAUUGAAGAUCAGCAUGUAAAAUGAUUCAAUCUAAAUAAUGAUGGAAGAACACCGGAGUCCAUUCCAAUUAGAAGCCUUUUUUUAAUUGGUUUUUUUGAGUCUGUUGCAUCAUUUAAGGGUCUAGGACAAGGAUAAGGAACUUCUGGCAUAUCUUGGUGGCGUGAUAAUGUUACUUCGGCUUUGCUCAAUCAUCAAGAGAUACCCUGUUGAGACCGGGGAAGAAAGCGUGGAAAGGAUAAACAAUCAUCACAAACCCAAGAGGAUCAGUAUUGUUGUGAUCGGUUUUUUAUUAGUUCCGUUCCCUGCAAACCACAAAUUGUGAUGCUCAUUGAAAAGUAAUAUUUUUUAUAUUGAAAAUUACUCCAUCAGUAAAGAGGGGUAAAGUCCAUAUUGAUUUUGCAAACCAACAUUAAAAAAAAACAGAUGAUACAAUGAC